AGAGUUUGAUCCUGGCUCAGGACGAACGCUGGCGGCGUGCUUAACACAUGCAAGUCGAGCGGAAAGGCCCUUUCGGGGGUACUCGAGCGGCGAACGGGUGAGUAACACGUGAGUAACCUGCCCUGGACUUUGGGAUAACCCUCGGAAACGGGGGGCUAAUACCGGAUACGACAACCAUCCGCAUGGUUCGGUUGUGGAAAGUUUUUUCGGUCUGGGAUGGGCUCGCGGCCUAUCAGCUUGUUGGUGGGGUGAUGGCCUACCAAGGCGACGACGGGUAGCCGGCCUGAGAGGGCGACCGGCCACACUGGGACUGAGACACGGCCCAGACUCCUACGGGAGGCAGCAGUGGGGAAUAUUGCACAAUGGGCGGAAGCCUGAUGCAGCGACGCCGCGUGAGGGAUGACGGCCUUCGGGUUGUAAACCUCUUUCAGCAGGGACGAAGCGUAAGUGACGGUACCUGCAGAAGGAGCGCCGGCCAACUACGUGCCAGCAGCCGCGGUAAGACGUAGGGCGCGAGCGUUGUCCGGAUUUAUUGGGCGUAAAGAGCUCGUAGGCGGCUUGUCGCGUCGGCUGUGAAAUCCCGUGGCUCAACUGCGGGCUUGCAGCCGAUACGGGCAGGCUAGAGUUCGGUAGGGGAGACUGGAAUUCCUGGUGUAGCGGUGAAAUGCGCGAUAUCAGGAGGAACACCGGUGGCGAAGGCGGGUCUCUGGGCCGAUACUGACGCUGAGGAGCGAAAGCGUGGGGAGCGAACAGGAUUAGAUACCCUAGUAGUCC
Molecule: ribosomal RNA, 774 nt
Filed under: uncultured bacterium
Lineage: Bacteria
Description: bacterial SSU rRNA
Rfam family: Bacterial small subunit ribosomal RNA
Source: RNAcentral